CCUACGGGAGGCAGCAGUAGGGAAUAUUGGGCAAUGGGCGCAAGCCUGACCCAGCAACGCCGCGUGAAGGAAGAAGGCUUUCGGGUUGUAAACUUCUUUUCUCAGGGACGAAGCAAGUGACGGUACCUGAGGAAUAAGCCACUGCUAACUACGUGCCAGCAGCCGCAGUAAUACGUAGGUGGCAAGCAUUAUCCGGAUUUACUGGGUGUAAAUGGCGUGUAGGCGGGACUGCAAGUCAGAUGUGAAAACCACGGGCUCAACCUGUGGCCUGCAUUUGAAACUGUAGUUCUGGAGUAUUGGAGAGGCAGACGGAAUUCCUAGUGUAGGGGUGAAAUGCGUAGAUAUUAGGAGGAACACCAGUGGCGAAGGCGGUCUGCUGGACAGCAACUGACGCUGAGGCGCGAAAGCGUGGGGAGCAAACAGGAUUAGAUACCCCUGUAGUC
Molecule: ribosomal RNA, 443 nt
Filed under: uncultured bacterium
Lineage: Bacteria
Description: partial 16S ribosomal RNA
Rfam family: Bacterial small subunit ribosomal RNA
Source: RNAcentral